GAUGAAGAACGCAGCGAAAUGCGAUAAGUAAUGUGAAUUGCAGAAUUCAGUGAAUCAUCGAAUCUUUGAACGCACCUUGCACCCUUUGGCAUUCCGAAGGGUAUGCUCGUUUGAGUGUCAUUGUACUCUCACACUUCCAAUCUUUGGAUUGGGAGCGGUGGACUUGGGUGUUGCUGCUUACUGUGGCUCACCUCAAAUCGAUUCGUGCACCUCUUGGUUGGACAUAGUACGGCGUGAUAAGUGUCUUCGCCGGCACCUCAGUAGAGGGUGGCUGAUCAGGGGCUCUGUGCUUCAAACCGUCCUCGGACAACAACUGACAACUUGACCUCAAAUCGAGUAGGACUACCCGCUGAACUUAAGCAUAUCAAUAAGCGGAGGA
This 379-nucleotide unclassified non-coding RNA is filed under the name soil metagenome. RNAcentral describes it as "partial contains 5.8S ribosomal RNA, internal transcribed spacer 2, and large subunit ribosomal RNA". The stretch from base 1 to 120 matches the Rfam family "5.8S ribosomal RNA", at positions 35 to 154 of the family's 154-position model. The record is from RNAcentral.